AGCCUGCUCAGUCGGGCGUUCACCCGUUCGGCCUCCAUUUGGGAAUCAAUUUGAAGGCCUGGAGCAUCAGAGUCAAUACCGACAACAGUUCCAAAGAAGACAGUCAAUCGAAGGAAAGAAAUUCAGUUACCCGCCAGUUUCUCGCACAUCGUCAACAACUCUUUCAUCAGAAACUCUUCGCAAUCAGUGGCGGCGUUGACUUUGGUUCGCUGCACGGCCACCUCCCCAGUUAUCACCUGAAGUUUCUGCUCGAGACCCUUUAGCUAGUCUCUCAAUAUCGUCGGGUCCAGAAGAGAAGCGGGGGAGGGCCCUGGAGUCACCAUGGUAGCGGGCACUGGCUGCAACUACGCAGGAACGGCUUGGGCAACUGGUGUUUCACGCAUUUCAUCAUCAUCGCUCUACAGCGCCAAACAAGACAAAAAUGAAAAUACAUCCUCAAAAAAAAAGACCAGGAGGGGUUCAUGUUGCAUCAAAAGAAGAUAUUACGGGCACCAUAGUACGGAGUCAUCUUAAAUGAAAUCCUGGCGAAGUUAACACUACCAACUAUUACAGUAAAACAAAAAACAAACUUCACGAUGAAGGACCAGCUCCCACCUCAUCCGUAGCCUCCUGCGCGGAUCGGACAGUCGCCGCGUUCAGCUGCUCGAUCACGGUGGUGAACUUCUUCGCCAAUUUGCGUCCUCGCUUAACAAAGCGCUUUAACUCGACGACUUGUCCAUCAGGAGUCAUGGUGGCGCCAUCAGCAACCUUCUACAGCAGCGCUUGGUCGAGUCCAUGCGCGAGCAAAAGGAUGAAUGCAGCCUCAGCACCUGCCUGGGUCUGCGCCCGAGUGAAGUCUUCAAGUGGGUCUUCACCAUCGAAGAAGCUCAGCAACCCGUCGAGUGAGCUUGGUGCCUCGACGUCUAGAUACAUGCUUGUAAAUAAUGGCCUCAGCAAGGAAGUCACCUUCCCGAGCAUGUCACCCGUGUGAUUGCAAAACUCCUCGACGGAGCCCACCACACCACUCAAUUCAGUGACUUGGUGUUUGCCACGAAGAGAGGACAGUGAGCCGAGGGAAUCUGCGCAAAAAUCAUAUCAGUCAAAGAAAUCAAAGGGGC
This 1097-nucleotide long non-coding RNA is filed under the name Brachypodium distachyon (stiff brome). RNAcentral's name for it is "long non-coding RNA (BDIS_LNC001119)". The record is from RNAcentral. Lineage: Eukaryota; Viridiplantae; Streptophyta; Magnoliopsida; Poales; Poaceae.